This 63-nucleotide transfer RNA is filed under the name Appalachioria falcifera. RNAcentral describes it as "tRNA-Met". The record is from RNAcentral. Lineage: Eukaryota; Metazoa; Arthropoda; Diplopoda; Polydesmida; Xystodesmidae.
GAAAAGAUAAGCUAAGAAAGCUGAUGGGUUCAUAUCUCAUAAAUAGAUUAAUUCUUCUUUUUA